UACGUAGGGUGCAAGCGUUGUCCGGAAUUAUUGGGCGGAAAGAGCUCGUAGGCGGUCUGUCACGUCGGCUGUGAAAACCCGAGGCUCAACCUCGGGCCUGCAGUCGAUACGGGCAAACUAGAGUACUGCAGGGGAGUCUGGAAUUCCUGGUGUAGCGGUGAAAUGCGCAGAUAUCAGGAGGAACACCGGUGGCGAAGGCGGGUCUCUGGGCAGUAACUGACGCUGAGGAGCGAAAGCGUGGGGAGCGAACAGG
RNAcentral lists this ribosomal RNA (253 nucleotides) under uncultured bacterium. Its description in RNAcentral is "partial 16S ribosomal RNA". It matches the Rfam family "Bacterial small subunit ribosomal RNA", at positions 524 to 776 of the family's 1533-position model. The record is from RNAcentral.